AGCAGCCGCGGUAAUUCCAGCUCCAAUAGCGUAUAUUAAAGUUGUUGCAGUUAAAAAGCUCGUAGUUGAAUUUCGGGAUCAAUAUAUUGGUCAUGCUUAGGUAUGUACUGGUAUUAUUGAUUUCUCCCUUCUGAAGAACCAUAAUGUCAUUAAUUUGAUGUCAUGGGGAAUCAGGACUGUUACUUUGAAAAAAUUAGAGUGUUUAAAGCAGGCUUUCGCUUGAAUACAUUAGCAUGGAAUAAUGAAAUAGGACGUUUGAUUCUAUUUUGUUGGUUUCUAGGAUCGACGUAAUGAUUAAUAGGGAUAGUUGGGGGCAUUAGUAUUCAAUUGUCAGAGGUGAAAUUCUUGGAUUUAUUGAAGACUAACUACUGCGAAAGCAUUUGCCAAGGAUGUUUUCAUUAAUCAAGAACGAAAGUUAGGGGAUCGAAGACGAUCAGAUACCGUCGUAGUCUUAACCAUAAACUAU
RNAcentral lists this ribosomal RNA (466 nucleotides) under uncultured Glomus. RNAcentral's name for it is "SSU rRNA". It matches the Rfam family "Eukaryotic small subunit ribosomal RNA", at positions 569 to 1040 of the family's 1831-position model. Lineage: Eukaryota; Fungi; Glomeromycota; Glomeromycetes; Glomerales; Glomeraceae. The record is from RNAcentral.